Molecule: long non-coding RNA, 306 nt
Organism: Cygnus olor (mute swan)
Lineage: Eukaryota; Metazoa; Chordata; Aves; Anseriformes; Anatidae
Exons: 3
Source: RefSeq, a predicted model, not a curated record
UGUGCUGAGGAGCUGCCAGGUACAUUAACUCUUGUCAACUUAAGGGAGAUUUGUUAUAAGUGAAGCUGACUCCUUCGUAAGAAGUUCAGGCUGAGCCUUGACACUUAAUCUAAAUACUGAAGCUGAGGAGAUUUUACUGGAGGAAUCCCCACGUGAAGGAGGAGAAAGGUUGGUUUGCAGGACCAACUGUCUGGCAUGUUGACUUGGGCUCCUGUGUGCUUCCCAUCCCAAGCUUUGCAGUGCCUUGCUGUGGAAAUAAGGUUUUUCUUCUUUUAAGAUAUCUGCCCCUCUUCUGAGGUAUGCUUG